CUUAUUUAUUGGCUUUCAUAAUAUGUGAUUUCAAAUACACAGUAGAAACUACUAAAAAUAACGUGGAGGUAAGGUUUUUUUUUAAAUUUCAUAUAUAUAAUUGCAGUUUAAUUUUAUCAAGUAGCACAUUCACAUAUAAAAACUAAUAGUGUCGCGAGCUUUUAUGUAAAGCUUAUGGUAAAAUGUUUGCUGUAUCGUAAAUUAACGAAGAAAACUAGUAUUCAAUUCGGCCGAUAACCUAAGUAUUUUUUUUUCAAAAGUCAAUAAAAUCACAUAUUUUGUUUUACCUCACUUAACAUCAUAAAACAUUUGUUAUACAAACAAUGAAAAAAAAGAAGAUUUAAAAAGAAUAAAUCACACCUUUUGUAUAUUUAAAGACUUAACUGUAGAAGAGUUCGACAUUAUAUUGUUGAUACAACCAUAGUUUUGUCAUGAACAUGUGGAUUAUAAAUGCAUUUAGUUAUCCUUUUUAUACAAAAGAUACAAAAUGUACAAAUAGAAAUGACAUCUGUACAUGUCAUUCAGGUAAAUUCAGUUUGAAAGUGCAUUGGGCCCGGAAGAAUCCUUAUCAUUAUAUUUUAACAGAAACAUAUCGGUAUUCAAAUUUACCUUUCUUCAUACUUUUACAUAACGAAAGUUACCAGAGGCACAUUUAAACUCAUAGAUCGAAAAUAGACUCAAAAUCCUAUGGCUUUACAAAGAAAAAGACUAACAGUCAAACAAUAAUACACAAGACACAACAUAGAAAACUAAAGACAGAAUAUUGAAUCCAAAUUACUCAUGAAUACAUUACAGUUAAAUAGACACAGUCUAUUUAUAGCUAACAAAAGUAUCUCCGGUUAUAUGAUUAUAUAUAUGAAAGGCAAAAUCAAGAAUAGAAAUUUUGGCGGAUCAAGCAUAUUUAGAAAUUUGAAGAUAUGCAAAUCGUAUAGGAAUUAUAAUAUAACUGAUGUAUACGCAUUUACUCUGGUAUAUAGAAAUAUAGAAAUUUCAUGCAUGAAAAACAGAAAAUGCUUUUCAAAGAAACUUAACAGAUAUACAGACUUACAAUAUACUUGUAGUAUAGAGCAUGGGCACGUCCGGAGGCGGUUGGUCAAACUCCAUACUCUUUAGAUGUUGGCGUCAAAUGCUUAACCUAUUUUGAAGAAUACUUUGAUAUUCCAUUCCCUCUACCGAAAUCAGGUAUGAGAGUUUAUGUCUUCAGCUAAUGAAUAUUCAUUGUACAACAUACAUUAUAAUUAUAUAUGAUUCCCGUGAAUUGCGUUCGAAAUUAUUAACUUAUCAAUUUAUCAAUACAACUGUAUGUAUAUCAAUGUGUUCUUUUAUAGUUUUUGUUACAUAAGUUACUUCGUCUUGAUAAUUUGAAGAUAACUUACUUGAGAAAAAAGGGGCGAAAGAUACCAGAGGGACAGUCAAAUUGAAUUGAUAUAAAGACAGAUUUUUUAAAAACAAAAGUGACAGUUUAUUUUCCAUGAACCACGAGUUCGUAAGACUUCUAUACGGACAGCAAUACAGUAAUUAUUACUGAUAAAGUAAACGUCGGUAAUUCAUAUGUUUACACUUGCGGACAAUAUUGCUCAGUAAAUUUAACGUUCGUUGCGAGUAUGGAAUAGUCUAUUAUCUUUUUUAAUAUAUCUUUCAAUGAAAAAUACAGAAAAAUAAGAUUUAUAAAAAGAAGUGUGUCCUUUGAAAACAAUUUAUGUGGUGUGUUUAAAAGACUUAUUUUUAUAUUUUGUUUCCAUUACAGAGAACUUGUAAGUGGUAAGCGCCCUGCUUACAAUCAGAAUAGUAAUCAUCUAGUCUUAUUCCAUUGUUCCGUAUAUAAUCAUUAUCAUUAUCAUUUGAUUGUUUUAAUGUAUAUAUUAUAAUUGAUAGACAUGAUAGCUGUACCGGAUUUUGCUGCCGGUGCUAUGGAGAACUGGGGACUAAUUAUUUACAGGGAGACAGCCAUGUUGUAUGAUCCAAUGGAGUCAGCAGAGACCAACAAACAGAGG
Molecule: long non-coding RNA, 1994 nt
Filed under: Mytilus galloprovincialis (Mediterranean mussel)
Lineage: Eukaryota; Metazoa; Mollusca; Bivalvia; Mytilida; Mytilidae
Source: RNAcentral